Molecule: long non-coding RNA, 4450 nt
Organism: Cephus cinctus (wheat stem sawfly)
Lineage: Eukaryota; Metazoa; Arthropoda; Insecta; Hymenoptera; Cephidae
Exons: 10
Source: RefSeq, a predicted model, not a curated record
UUUAAGUUUCAGUUUCAUAUUGUAUAACUUGCUUGAUUCUGAUUCCUUGUUAAAGUUUACAAUGUGACGUGUGUCUGAUGUGCGAUGUACAGUUUAUCUGUUUAUUCUUUACACUGAGGAACGAGGAUGUUGUGCGCCAAAACUGGGCUUUGUUCAACGACAGCAAUUAGACAGUAUAAUAUUACUGCAUUGGACUUUUAUAAUAUUCCGGCACAAAGAUCAAAGCUCAACAUAGCCAUGGCUUCUCCCUAUGGAAUUACGUCGUUUUGAAUACCAGGUAGACGAUGCUCGCGACUUUCAGUCCAAUUUAUUUGCACCAGAGGAGGAUGUAAAAUCAGGAUUGUCGACAGCUGGUAUCAGUCUCAGACCGGGGGCCGUAAAUGCACGGACGACGAGGGAUUCCCAACUUCACGAUUUUUAGCCUCUGGCUAAAGUGCCAAUGGAAAAGUUGCACUCGGAGUGGUUCGCUUUGUUUUUUCAUCCAGGACAUCCUGGAAAAUUUGAAAAACGUUUUUAACCCACCGCCGCUCGCAUGAGUACAUAUGUACUAUGGGAUAUGAUAUCACACGUAAGAGUCCUGAGGCACGAUGAUGCAUGCAAGUAUGUUAAUGCACGAAACCUCCGUCCAUUUUGGAUAGCUAUGAAUAUUCAAGAACAUUCACGAAGAUAGACAAGAUUUUCACAAAGGUCCUGUAAUCCUCUGGUACAACGACUUUGUCAAUAUGUCUGAUAUUCGAUAUCGUCGAUGCUCAGAUUCCUCUUAGAUUUGGCAAAAAUGAUGUAAAUUUCUGAGUACAUCCUGGACUCCCAAAGGACUUUGCCAAUUAAAGCAUAAAGGAAGAAUCCAAUUACCGGUUAUGUCCUACAGGUUCAUUACCUCGUCGUCUCGUUGAGCCCCGUGCCCUUUCAACUCUCUGAUGCGGCCCUGGGCCACCCUCACCCGAGUACCGGCAACGCGGUUUCUCCCUGUUAUCCAGCUCCACUACCAGAGAAGAAAGAAGGAAACGAAGGGAAGCUGGGAAAGGAGGAGCGACGUAGGAGAGGGGAAAAAAUGAGGAUGAAAAAAAAAUCGGAAGGGAGAUCCAAGAGUAAGACUGGAUAACCAGCUUUGAAGACUAUCGGAAGUGUAGCAGUGGUACGCCCUGACGCCUUGGGGCAUUUGCGAAAAGAAAAAAAUAGGAGAAAAAGAUUGGUAUGGGGUGCAUGAGGUUUUCAUCCAUCUGGCGUCACAAGGGAAUUAAAGUGUACUCGUGGUCCAGCGAUUGGCCCGUCAACGGAGUCAAGGUUGUGCGCUGGAUGCGGGCUAUUCGAAAAAUGCGGCUUUCGUGCUGGGAAGACAUUUGCCGGCACUCGCGUCGCCAAACGAGAGAUAAGUCGACAUUCGACGUGGAACGUACGAGGCCCAUUACUUUCAAUUUAUGCUCCCUUCGAUUCUUAAAUCCGCAAACUUUCGGAGACCGCCCGUCGGCGGAUUCGCGUCGACCAAGUCCGCCAUUUAUUUAACGGCGCGCCGAAGAUCUCGAGAACGAGCUGGCUUUUCAGCCAAGGCGCACACACGGUAUUAGUUGAAGCUGAAAUACCAAACUUUCCAGACGAUGAAUUUCUUGUACGAGGGUGCUGGAAAGUUUAAUAAUCCAAUGCAGGAUGAAAUUUGGAAAAGCCGAAGAAAGCGUAGAAUGAAGAUGAAGGCGGUAUAAAGAGAAGUAACGGUCGAAGAACGUGUAGCAGCCUCUCUUGUACCUAAUACGAUCCAUUCCAACCUGGUGGGAUCGAAGUGAAUUUUGAAAAUAAGGAGGAGGACAAGGACGAGGCAUAGCGAGAGGGGAGGAGAAGAAAAAGAACAACAGGAUGCAAGAAGAAAAGGAAGAGAAGAAACCUGAAAGGCCGUUGAAUCUGUGAAAAAGGAUUUGUUUUUCCAAGCUGUAUCCAAGCAGCUACGAAAUACGCUUGAGAAAUCGCCCUGUGAAUUUCACUGUGAAUCCAUCGAUAUUCCAUUCGCCAUCAGGGGUGCGUUACUCUCCCCUCGAGUUCUCUUCUGUACUUCAAAGAAUCGUGAAAUCGUUCGGAUUUCAAGUAGGCAACGAGAGAUUAGGUUUGCACGCCGAGGUUCACGGCCGCGAGACCAGAACACGUUAGGCCCGACUGGCAAUUUGCAUUUUAUUAUGGCCGAAGCCUUUCGGUUUCGACGGCGGCCCUAAGUAUCUGCCAAGAAUGCAUUAUAACUACGUGCAUUCUCUUCCUUCUCGAAGGGUUAUUCGAAAAAACGCCCCCGAGAAACAUCGGCACGACAGAAUUUCAAGUGCGGAUUGGAGCAUGUGCUCCCUGCUUUUUUACGAAUGUAAUGCGCAAUGCUAUCUGCAUUGGGAAACUAGUUUGUAUAAAGCGUCCACUGUAUUUACUAUGCGUUGUAUGCACUUGUUGCAUCUGUAAUUACUGAACGAUACAUUUUAUACGUUUAGCAUAGAUUCCUUAAAUAGUAUGUCUACGUAAAAGACACCGAUCUGUUUGAAACGUAUCUUCGAUGGUCUCUUCUUUUUAAAAAAUUUUUUUCUCUUGGGGUUAAAGAAAUUCUGAGUUCGCAGAAUUCUAGAGCGGUACGUCGGGGAUAAAUUUUCAAUAAAAGCAGGGCAACUUGUGCUAGGAAUUGAAAGUGGAAGACAUGUAACCCUGAAGUCUUUGUAGGCGUAAUUCUAUCGCAAACUGAUAAAUACACGCACAGACAGAAAAUAUUUUGAAAGGCGGAUUCGCCACGCGCUUGAGUCAACAAGUUUCUCCUCCGUUAGCGACUGAGUACACGAGAGAGCGAUAGAUUAAGAUUUUCAAUGGAUCGAGUGACGAGAGACCGAAAUGUUUUUGGAAAAAAUCACUAGCAAUAUCCUAAUUUCAUGGGAGGAAGGUCGCAGCACCUGACGGCCCUAGGCUUUUCGAAUUGCCUUGAAAGGAUCUUGAAAAGAUCGCAAGGAUUUGCGGUCCUUCAAAUCAAUAGGGAUAAGAAUCGCAUGAAGGCCGAUCCUUCCUCAAUAGAUAGACAUACAAUGGUAUAGCUCUUCUAUCGAUGGGAUUACCUAAUGCACUGAAAGGCUGUAUUCUGGGCCUUAUAAAAGAAGGGCCUUACAUUUCAUAAUAGAAAGCUGAAGGACAUAUCUGUAACCCAUGAAAAUGUACACGAGAUUCGUGACAUCGGAUGACAAGAUAAAUUAUCUUAUCUAUUUUAUAGAUUAAUAAAAGUACAAGCAAUGUAAUUAUAGACUUACAUGUAAUCGGAGCAUGUUAUUUAAAUAGCAUGUAUGCACGUCAUUACAUGGCAAUGAGUACGUCACUCUUAUCUCAUGACUCGUAUGCGAAUUCGCAAGGUGUUUCCAGCAGGCAGAUCGUGGAGAAGUUAGGUCAUCGGUUCCGAUAAUUAGGUAAUUAGGGUAAGAUGGCCCUCGUGGCUAUCUUGAUGCAGAGAGUAGAUAGUACGUGCAGGUAGAUAUGUACUUUGGUAGUUAGUAUAUGUUCAUCUAACCACCAAUAGAUAAACACAUACGCAGCUUGUGCAGUGCUCUGGGCUCUCUCUCCUAUAUACGUAAGCAAUUUCACUAGUAAUUUCCACCUUACAUCGGCGAAACUUCAGCGAUAAUGCCGCGGUAGUUAAAUUGCAUUAAACAAGCGAGUUACAGUGUUACAGGAGUUCGACCGCAGGCCGCGACUAUGGCGCCAGCGUUGCCUACCAUAAUGAGAAUGAUUACUUUAUUCCUAUUAAGCUUAUCAUUACUACUCGUUCCUAUGUCAGACACUGAUAGUUUAAUUCAUUAACUUAAUAUAAUAAUAUUGUUUGAUCUCAUGGAAACAUAGAAAUUGUAAUUGAGUUGUUAAUGUAAACUGACUGUUAUUCAAAUUUUCAUAAUCACGCGUGGUUUGUUUAGAAACAAAUAUUUUAUGUUACAAAGUGCAAGAUAUAAAACUUGUUACUUGUUUCUGUGUUUGCGAUAUUUUAAUGAAACACUAUUAGAUGCGAAGUAAUGUGUAGAUUAUUUUGUAUAUAAGAACCGCCAAACAGCGUAUCACUAUUUCAUUAAACGUCCGGGCUACGUGACAGUGAAAUGACUGCUCUACUUUCCAAUGUUAUUUUUACUAGACGCUAAACUAUUUUUAUUUAAAUUUUAUCCUUAUUUGUACUUCUUUAUUCUCUGGUGUCAACUGUGACAAACGAUUAUUCAAGUUCGUUGCAUUUGUCUCUAAUGUUUUAUUGUAUUUUGUUUAUGUAAUGGGAUUACUUUAAUUGUAGGUAUAUCAAAGAUUUUUCUGUGCUCUUGCAUUCGGGAACUACAUCAGGUUAUUGUACUCUGCUUAUAAUAUUCUAAUCUUUCUGGGAAGUAUUAUUUUCUCUUAACUAUGAAUAACGUAUAAGGUCCUGAUAUUAUGGCUGUGUGAGAAUUUACGAUAGUUUUUAAUUUUUUUAAUUAAA